AUACGGAGGGGGUUAGCGUUGUUCGGAAUUACUGGGCGUAAAGCGCACGUAGGCGGACUGGAAAGUUGGGGGUGAAAUCCCGGGGCUCAACCCCGGAACUGCCUCCAAAACUUCCAAUCUAGAGAUCGAGAGAGGUGAGUGGAAUUCCAAGUGUAGAGGUGAAAUUCGUAGAUAUUUGGAGGAACACCAGUGGCGAAGGCGGCUCACUGGCUCGGUACUGACGCUGAGGUGCGAAAGCGUGGGGAGCAAACAGGAUUAGAUACCCCAGUAGUCC
This 274-nucleotide ribosomal RNA is filed under the name uncultured bacterium. Its description in RNAcentral is "partial 16S ribosomal RNA". It matches the Rfam family "Bacterial small subunit ribosomal RNA", at positions 523 to 796 of the family's 1533-position model. The record is from RNAcentral.